UACACCUAGGCAGUGAGCUUGUGGGGCAGGAUUGAUUGUCAAGUUCUCAACAGAAAUAGAGAUAUCAGCCCGUCUGCGGUGCUGCUCCCAAGAUGACGCCGCAUUCGGUACACGUGACCAAAAGACUGGCAGAGCUCGAGGACGGCACUUCCGUCAGACAUCAAGGGAAGUGCGGCGGAGUUCCGGACCGGCGUGCAGCAGCGGGCAUGGGAGUGCGGGAUUGUCAACAAACUUCAUGAAAAUGGCCGCCGCAAUGAGUGACAGCUUCCCCUUCCAAUAAAGUAAAGGGAACAGCCGAGUACCAUCCCCAUAGGAAGUGGGGCAUCUUCCACUAGAAGCAACGGACGGAAGUGGGGAACAUUCAUCGUGUACGCGAAACCGGAAGAGCGGCUUGACGCGCAUGCGCACACUGUCGGUGCGGACGCCGGAAGCGGGGCGGAAAUGACGCGGGACGCGUCCUGGACCUUUCAAAACGAAAAAAACAGCUUUCUAAGACUCGUUUUUCGGAAAAAACGACACCACAGGACUUACUUUCACAGCCUCUUAAGCACACUUAUGUUUAUAUUAAGAAUUGUGCAACACUAUGCUUUUUGAUUUCUAACAGGAAGUGAUGUCAUAAUUAACUAUGAACACAUGAUACCUGCUAUAAAUACUACCCUUGUUCAUUUGUACCCUACCCCUUGAUGAAGUCUGAUGGACGAAACGCGUUGGGUGUACCUCUGAAUUGACCCUCCAUUUUAAAAGAUAAGCAUUGCGUUUUUAUCUUUUUAGAAUAUUGAUGUUUUUUAUUCUCAUAUUUUGUGUAUCCGUAUUUUUUAAAGAAUCUUUUAUGGUGUAUUCUCAAACUAUGCCCUAUGCUUGUAAACUUUU
Molecule: long non-coding RNA, 870 nt
Organism: Pseudophryne corroboree (corroboree frog)
Lineage: Eukaryota; Metazoa; Chordata; Amphibia; Anura; Myobatrachidae
Exons: 3
Source: RefSeq, a predicted model, not a curated record